RNAcentral lists this ribosomal RNA (468 nucleotides) under uncultured bacterium. RNAcentral's name for it is "partial 16S ribosomal RNA". It matches the Rfam family "Bacterial small subunit ribosomal RNA", at positions 28 to 507 of the family's 1533-position model. The record is from RNAcentral.
GACGAACGCUGGCGGCGUGCUUAACACAUGCAAGUCGAACGGAAAGGCCCUGCUUUUGUGGGUUGCUCGAGUGGCGAACGGGUGAUUAACACGUGAUUAACCUGCCCUUGACUUUGGGAUAACUUCAGGAAACUGGGGCUAAUACCGGAUAGGAGCUCCUGCUUCAUGGUGGGGUUUGGAAAGUUUCGGCGGUUGGGGAUGGACUCGCGGCUUAUCAGCUUGUUGGUGGGGUAGUGGCUUACCAAGGCUUUGACGGGUAGCCGGCCUGAGAGGGUGACCGGCCACAUUGGGACUGAGAUACGGCCCAGACUCCUACGGGAGGCAGCAGUGGGGAAUAUUGCACAAUGGGCGGAAGCCUGAUGCAGCAACGCCGCGUGCGGGAUGACGGCCUUCGGGUUGUAAACCGCUUUCGCCUGUGACGAAGCGUGAGUGACGGUAAUGGGUAAAGAAGCACCGGCUAACUACGUG